RNAcentral lists this transfer RNA (69 nucleotides) under Tritia reticulata (reticulate nassa). RNAcentral's name for it is "tRNA-Met". The record is from RNAcentral. Lineage: Eukaryota; Metazoa; Mollusca; Gastropoda; Neogastropoda; Nassariidae.
AAUGUAAAAUAAGCUAAAUAUGAAGCUAUUGGGUUCAUACCCCAAAAAUGAACAUAAGUUCUUUUACAA